GUGGGGAAUAUUGGACAAUGGGGGGAACCCUGAUCCAGCCAUGCCGCGUGUGUGAAGAAGGCCUUUUGGUUGUAAAGCACUUUAAGCGAGGAGGAGGCUACCGAGAUUAAUACUCUUGGAUAGUGGACGUUACUCGCAGAAUAAGCACCGGCUAACUCUGUGCCAGCAGCCGCGGUAAUACAGAGGGUGCAAGCGUUAAUCGGAUUUACUGGGCGUAAAGCGCGCGUAGGUGGCCGAGUAAGUCAAAUGUGAAAUCCCCGAGCUUAACUUGGGAAUUGCAUUCGAUACUGGUUUGCUAGAGUAUGGGAGAGGAUGGUAGAAUUCCAGGUGUAGCGGUGAAAUGCGUAGAGAUCUGGAGGAAUACCGAUGGCGAAGGCAGCCAUCUGGCCUAAUACUGACACUGAGGUGCGAAAGCAUGGGGAGCAAACAGGAUUAGAAACCCUGGUAGUCC
This 451-nucleotide ribosomal RNA is filed under the name uncultured bacterium. RNAcentral describes it as "bacterial SSU rRNA". It matches the Rfam family "Bacterial small subunit ribosomal RNA", at positions 354 to 796 of the family's 1533-position model. The record is from RNAcentral.